AAAGAGCACUUGCAGUGUUUGAUGUUAGACAAAAAACCGCAUACUGUAAGUGCUCUUUGU
This 60-nucleotide microRNA precursor is filed under the name Oreochromis niloticus (Nile tilapia). RNAcentral describes it as "microRNA oni-mir-10879 precursor". Lineage: Eukaryota; Metazoa; Chordata; Actinopteri; Cichliformes; Cichlidae. The record is from miRBase by way of RNAcentral.